CAGGAACACGCGAACGUGUGCCCCUUCUUCGAGGUGCCCUGCCCGCUAGGCAAGUGCAAGGAGAGGAUGAUGAGGAAGGACAUCCCCGACCACCUCAGCUGGAAGUGUAAACACCGGGAGAGCACCUGCGACUUUUGCCACACCAAGAUGGCGCUCACCGACCUGCAGAAACACAAGGAGACGGUGUGUCCGGCCUUCCCGGUGUCGUGUCCGAACCUUUGCUCCUUCUCGUCGCUGCCGCGGAGCGAG
This is a long non-coding RNA of Hippocampus comes (tiger tail seahorse), 249 nucleotides long. RefSeq lists it as uncharacterized. The transcript has 2 exons. The record is from RefSeq and is a predicted model, not a curated record. NCBI's taxonomy places the organism in Eukaryota, Metazoa, Chordata, Actinopteri, Syngnathiformes, Syngnathidae.